ACGGAACAAAGCUUUCUUGUGGAGCCGUUACAGUGAGGAAAUGCGAGUUUUUUUUUACGGUGCGAGGGGCAUCUUCGGCGUGUUGUUUAUUCCGCAGGGUUCUGCCUCACCAGGUAGAACGACUUCUGAAGUUAGAUUGCUUCACGUUACAGGUGGUGCUGCAGAGCGGAGUUUCAGGCAGCUGAGGACUCUGAGUGGCCCUUCAGCAACGUGACACUGAGUGACUGUGGGGAAAAAACUGCACGGAUGCAAAAUGAUCUUAGCAUGGGCUGAAGUGAAUAGCAGUAUGAAUGAACCUGGCUUGAAUGCUGAGAAGGACAAGGUGAUGCAGCACACUGCGAUUUUGUAUGAGGAUCAGCUGAACAGUGAGUUUGUACAAAUUGAUAACCAUGUGGUAUACUCACUCUGCUCAAGGUGAUCUUUAAAUUGAACAUUGAUGAUGCAGCUGGGUCCGCUGUGUAUACAGAAAACUGCCCACUCAUUACAUGUCACCAGAAACAGGCUGCUAUCUGGUGACCAAUGGUUUUUGAAUUUGGAGCUGUGAUGCCCUUGGAUGCACCGACAUAGUAAAACAUCUGUCUACUCAAGAGCACCAACUCCUACUGUCUUAAGCACAACACAAACACAACAAAGCACGAUUCAUGUCACCUGAGCAGUCAUUCAUAGCUACAUGCUACAUGCGAUCGCUGCUCAGCAGUUCAGUCAUGCAUGGGGCCAAGGGGCAGAUUUUGGUUUCAUGUGCAGCAGAGUCAGCAGAGGUGAUCUUAUAAACUUACAUGUGUGAUUCUUAAAGGGAAAGUCAGGAUCUGCAGAUGAAUUUAAAUUACAACAAGACGUAACUAAACAGUGCAUACUCUUGAACAACUUCACACAGAGACGAAUGUUAAGAGAAUCGUAGCAUUCUUGUUCUGUCAUAAUUGAUUCCUAUGUGUAAUGUGGGUAUAUUUGGAUACUACAACUGGCUGGCUACAGAAAUGAAUAAAGUUAAAAAAAAAAUUCAAAUUUCAUUCCAUAUAUGGC
This 1020-nucleotide long non-coding RNA is filed under the name Gallus gallus (chicken). Its description in RNAcentral is "long non-coding RNA NONGGAT003556". The record is from RNAcentral. Lineage: Eukaryota; Metazoa; Chordata; Aves; Galliformes; Phasianidae.